Molecule: ribosomal RNA, 253 nt
Filed under: uncultured bacterium
Lineage: Bacteria
Description: partial 16S ribosomal RNA
Rfam family: Bacterial small subunit ribosomal RNA
Source: RNAcentral
UACGUAGGCAGCAAGCGUUGUUCGGAGUUACUGGGCGUAAAGAGUGCGUAGGCGGUUUUUUAAGUUUGGUGUGAAAUCUCCCGGCUUAACUGGGAGGGUGCGCCGAAAACUGGAAGGCUCGAGGAUGGGAGAGGCAUGCGGAAUUCCUGGUGUAGCGGUGAAAUGCGUAGAUAUCAGGAGGAACACCUGCGGUGUAGACAGCAUGCUGGGCCAUUUCUGACGCUGAGGCACGAAAGCGUGGGUAGCAAACAGG